RNAcentral lists this ribosomal RNA (468 nucleotides) under uncultured bacterium. Its description in RNAcentral is "partial 16S ribosomal RNA". It matches the Rfam family "Bacterial small subunit ribosomal RNA", at positions 28 to 507 of the family's 1533-position model. The record is from RNAcentral.
GACGAACGCUGGCGGCGUGCUUAACACGUGCAAGUCGAACGGAAAGGCCCUGCUUUUGUGGGGUGCUCGAGUGGCGAACGGGUGAGUAACAUGUGAGUAACCUGCCCUUGACUUUGGGAUAACUUCAGGAAACUGGGGCUAAUACCGGAUAGGAGCUCCUGCUGCAUGGUGGGGGUUGGAAAGUUUCGGCGGUUGGGGAUGGACUCGCGGCUUAUCAGCUUGUUGGUGGGGUAGUGGCUUACCAAGGCUUUGACGGGUAGCCGGCCUGAGAGGGUGACCGGCCACAUUGGGACUGAGAUACGGCCCAGACUCCUACGGGAGGCAGCAGUGGGGAAUAUUGCACAAUGGGCGGAAGCCUGAUGCAGCAACGCCGCGUGCGGGAUGACGGCCUUCGGGUUGUAAACCGCUUUCGCCUGUGACGAAGCGUGAGUGACGGUAAUGGGUAAAGAAGCACCGGCUAACUACGUG